GUAGGUGGCAAGCGUUGUCCGGGAAUUAUUGGGGCGUAAAGCGCGCGCAGGCGGUUCUCUAAGUCUGAUGUGAAAGCCCACGGGCUCAACCGUGGAGGGUCAUUGGAAACUGGAGAACUUGAGUACAGAAGAGGAAAGCGGAAUUCCACGUGUAGCGGUGAAAUGCGUAGAGAUGUGGAGGAACACCAGUGGCGAAGGCGGCUUUCUGGUCUGUAACUGACGCUGAGGCGCGAAAGCGUGGGGAGCAAACAGGAUUAGAUACCCUGGUAGUCCACGCCGUAAACGAUGAGUGCUAAGUGUUAGGGGGUUUCCGCCCCUUAGUGCUGCAGCUAACGCACUAAGCACUCCGCCUGGGGAGUACGGCCGCAAAGGCUG
This 375-nucleotide ribosomal RNA is filed under the name uncultured organism. RNAcentral's name for it is "partial 16S ribosomal RNA". It matches the Rfam family "Bacterial small subunit ribosomal RNA", at positions 527 to 896 of the family's 1533-position model. The record is from RNAcentral.